RNA transcript from Mobula hypostoma (lesser devil ray), 3714 nucleotides. It is a transcript of the gene named pregnancy-specific beta-1-glycoprotein 9-like, with no coding region annotated. The record is from RefSeq and is a predicted model, not a curated record. NCBI's taxonomy places the organism in Eukaryota, Metazoa, Chordata, Chondrichthyes, Myliobatiformes, Myliobatidae. The transcript is spliced from 7 exons.
UGAAAAGAGGAGUGUCUGGAUCCUCUUAAAACGUCGGGAAGGGCGAGGUUUCACCAAAGUACAGUGGCAGGAAACGAGCGGGUUCCGCAGAAGUAAUCCACUGCAGUCCACAGUAGCAGUUCGAGUUCCUUUGCAUACGCGCCCAUCGAAAUAUUCCGCUGGGCUCUGACUCCUGGUAAGAGCGCGGCCUCCACCCAGCGCCGCGGCCUCGGGCUUUGGGCCUCAGCGGUCAGACAAUGUGGAAGGUUGCGACUGCGGUUUUCCUUCUCUGCGCGGUUUCCGUGUGCAAGUCUUCAAACAGUACAACAUUUUAUCGAUUGGAGGGCAAUAGUGUAUCUAUUUCUUUCAAAAGAUCUCCACAUCUAGAAGAAAUUUUAUGCACGUUUAGAGACAACAAGGUUCUUGAAUGGGAAGCUGGCAAAAAUGUAUUGUAUUUUGGAAAUUUUACUGGAAGAACUAAGCUAACAGCGGAUACCAUAGAGAUCCAGAAUUUACAACAGAUUGAUUCAGGGAUUUACAGAAUUUCUUUCAUAAAUCAGGAUGGUUUCACUACUGAAGAAAGUUUCACACUCAUUGUAAGCGCACCACUUUUGCAACCAACAAUUAACUGUACUGCAAAUGGCACAAGUAUUCACCUGGAAUGCAAUUUCGAAGACAGUCUAUCAGCUACAAUUCAAUGGCUACAUCAAGGCAAGGCUGUAGGGCAAGAUGAUAAUUUUGAUUUAACUCCUGAAAACAAAAGGUUAACAAUAUUAAACACUAAAGAAUCUUCUGGUGAAUAUACCUGCAUUGUGAAAAAACAUGAAGAUCGGGCUCAGAGUGACCCCAUUAAUAUAGAAAAAUGCUAUAGUAGAGGAAAUAGUCGAGGGCAUCUCGCUCUGAUUGCACUUGCAGUGGUUUUUGUAGCCGGCAUCAUGAUUGCUGCUUUCGCUUUCUACUGGUAUAAGAGAAAAAAUGGGAAUGUGCAAAAUACCGUUCGUAGAUACGAAGUAACGAAGGUAGAAGAUUGAAACAUUGAAUUGCCAGAAGGAGAUGGAGUAGAAACAAAGUCUUCACCAUCAAGUGUGUGAACCUAAAGUCAGAAAAGAUAUUUGACGUUCCAAAGGUUGAAAAGAGAAGAUCAUGUUUUGCACUUAAUCUUGAGCAGCACAAAGAGAAUGCCUAAUUGGGAGAAAGGAUCUCUUGAAGAUUUUAACAUUGAAAAGAUUUUAAUCAACAGUUCUGCAAAAGAACACUUCAGGCCAAAUAUUCACCUUUUUGUAUUGCACAGAUGCUGCUUGAACUUGUGCUUCUGGGAUAUUUUUAUUCUAGCAGCCGUCAUGUGAUGCCACUUGACAGUGGUACUCUGUUAAUUACACUUGCUGUAUAUUUCUAACUGCUAUAACAAGAGCUAAAGGUAUGUGCAGGCUUGAAUGCUAAUGAUGUAUUAUUGAAAGAACAAAUAUUUAAUUUCAGUGCAAACAACAGGAAUUCUGCAGAUGCUGGAAAUUCAAGCAACAUACAUCAAAGUUGCUGGUGAACGCAGCAGGCCAAGCAGCAUCUGUAGGAAGAGGUACAGUCGAUGUUUCAGGCCAAGCAAGUUUGUUCUCCUUCAUGAAAUAACAUUAAUUUCAGAUAUUGUUAAAGUUUUUUUUAUCCACAGAUGCUCACUGUGCUUCUAAAUUAUUUAAGUUUAAAAGUCAGAAAUUUAACACUCAAGAUGUAUUGCUCAAUUGUCUAGAGUUGUGGUAAUUUUAGAUUUCUGGCUGUGCCAAUGUGGCUUGUUUCAACUUAUAAUUGUGUAGUAAUCAAGAUAAACUGCAUUUUACAUGGUUUUUUAAAAAUGCAUCUUGUAUGAAUAUGUAGCUUGAUUGUGUGUGUGUUUUUUUAUUAUUUUCAAUGUCCACUGAAUAGAGUAGCUUCACUUGUCUUAGUACUUAAGAUCUUUUCUUAAAAUAAAAAGGUGAAAAUGCACAAGGGAUUCAUAGAAUUAAGAGCAUAUGGCACAGCUUAUCGAGCUGCAGCUACAUUGUUCUAGCAACCUGUCAUCAGUUUUGACCUCCAGUGCCAUCUCUAGGGAGUUUGCAUAUUCUCUCUGUGACCGUGGGUUCACUUCCGUGUCCCACAAGUGAGAGUUCAGAGGCAAUUGAAUAUUGUAAAUUGCCUUUGGUGUGUUGGUGACUGGGACAUGCUGAAGGGAACAUGGGAAGAAAAUGUUACAGGAAAUUGAGGUUGUACUGAGAGCUGGCAUAGAUUUCAUUGGCUGAGCUAAUGGCCUUGCAUUGAUUUAUUUUAAAGAGAAAACUAGACAGGCUAUUUGCAAUGAUUGUUUAAAAUAUUUUUAAAUUGAAAUCAAAAAUUAUACAAACAUUGAAUAGAGAUUGGAGCUCAAACAGUAAUGAAUAUCUUUGUUUACAUAUGCAGAUGAUAAAAAUAAUCCAAAGGAAGUGAUUAAAGCAAACUGAGUAAUUAUAGAAAAUUGCCAAUCUGCGUUGUGCACUUCCAUAUACUGUUACCUACUCCUAACUCACACUGCCAGGAAUUUAAAGUUCAGGGUGGAAUUGGGAUGACCACAGAUUGUGUAAAAGGGAAAAUCUGAAGAAUUUGACAGGUGUUGAAGAAAAUGGAAAGGUUGACGCAUACUUUUAUGACAAUGAGAAAAAUCUUAACUCCUUUGCAAUCAUUGUCAACAUGACCCAAUGACAUGAAAUAAAACUAUGAAAAGCAGCUGAUAAUUUAUGAUGCAGAAAAUAAGUUGCUAUGGGAGUUUUAUAAAAUGCUGAGGAACAGAAAGUCCUAGGAGUCUAAAUCCAUUGUUUUCUUAAAGUGUCUACAUAUUAAAAGGAUGAUGAAGGGAUAGGUGUUUAGGGUUUUGGCAUAGAAUGCAAAGGCUGGAACAUUAUGUUGCCACUCUACAACUCACUGGUUGGGCUGCAUUUAGAGUAUUGCAAUAAAUCAAAUGGGCUGGACUUAUACAUUUAACUGGUCAUCACUUGGCCUGCUGGUCUGGGUUGAGGGAAUAUAGAUGUAUAAGAUAAAAGGCAAAAAUAGGAUAGAUGGCAGGGAUAUCAAAAACAAGAAGGCUGAGGUUUGAGGUAAGAGGAAGGAGUUUUAAAGAGAAUUUGAGAGAGAUUUUUUUAAACCGAUGAUGUCUUCAACUCACUGCCAGAGAAGGUAGUGGAGUCAGAUAGACCCCCUGUGUUUCAGGGUCAUUUAGAAAUACACCUAAAUAGGCAAGGUAUGGGAUAUAGUCCCAAUUCAGGCAAAUGGAAUUGGUCUAAAUGGGUAAAAAGAUGAUUAUGUACAUGGUGAGCAAAAACAGCUUGUUGCUGUACUGUAUGACUUGUUUUAUCUUGUAGCCUUGGUGGGAUAAUAUUAAAUAAAUACCUUGUGCUUGCCAAUCUUGGUUUCUUUUAUUACAGCUUGUUAGUUACUGACCCCUUCGACCCACCUAUCAAAACCUAUAAAGGCAGGCAAUAGUUUAUCUGAUUGGUUAAAUGACUCCGAAUUCAGCACAAGAUGGCAGAAUAAGCAAUGGUAACAAGAUAAACAGGGUUGUAAUCUCACAAUUCCUUCUCAUGUCAAAAUGCUAGUAAGGGUAAAGAAUGAGAGGAUGGGGAAAUGAACGGAAUGCAUAAGAGCUAGUGCAGGCACGAGUGACUUAAGAUUCCUGGUCCAUUAGCAUUGCUUCUAGGGCAUAGGUGACCAGUAAAAGAGGGACAAGGUUGUACCUAA